RNAcentral lists this ribosomal RNA (460 nucleotides) under uncultured bacterium. RNAcentral describes it as "partial 16S ribosomal RNA". It matches the Rfam family "Bacterial small subunit ribosomal RNA", at positions 338 to 795 of the family's 1533-position model. The record is from RNAcentral.
CCUACGGGUGGCUGCAGUGAGGAAUAUUGGUCAAUGGGCGCAAGCCUGAACCAGCCAAGUCGCGUGAGGGAUGACGGUCCUAUGGAUUGUAAACCUCUUUUGUCGGGGAGCAAGGCCCGCCACGUGUGGCGGGAAGGCGAGUACCCGAAGAAAAAGCAUCGGCUAACUCCCGGCCAGCAGCCGCGGUAAUACGGUGGAUGCGAGCGUUAUCCGGCUUUAUUGGGUUUACAGGGUGCGUAGGCGGAAGGUUAAGUCAGCGGUAAAAUGUCGGUGCUCAACACCGGCCUGCCGUUGAAACUGGUCUGCUUGAGUGAGCGAGAAGUAUGCGGAAUGCGUGGUGUAGCGGUGAAAUGCAUAGAUAUCACGCAGAACUCCGAUUGCGAAGGCAGCAUGCCGGAGCGCAACUGACGCUGAGGCACGAAAGCGUGGGGAUCGAACAGGAUUAGAUACCCGUGUAGUC